This 795-nucleotide ribosomal RNA is filed under the name uncultured bacterium. Its description in RNAcentral is "bacterial SSU rRNA". It matches the Rfam family "Bacterial small subunit ribosomal RNA", at positions 8 to 796 of the family's 1533-position model. The record is from RNAcentral.
AGAGUUUGAUCAUGGCUCAGAUUGAACGCUGGCGGCGUGCCUAACACAUGCAAGUCGAGCGGUAACAGGUGUAGCAAUACAUGCUGACGAGCGGCGAACGGGUGAGUAAUGCUUUGGAAUCUUCCCAGUAGUGGGGAAUAACCAGUCGAAAGAUUGGCUAAUACCGCAUACGUCCGAAAGGGGAAAGCGGGGGCUCGUAAGACCUCGCGCUAUUGGAUGAGCCAAAGUCGGAUUAGCUAGUUGGUGGGGUAAUGGCCUACCAAGGCGACAAUCCGUAGCUGGUCUGAGAGGACGACCAGCCACACCGGAACUGAGACACGGUCCGGACUCCUACGGGAGGCAGCAGUGGGGAAUAUUGGACAAUGGGGGAAACCCUGAUCCAGCGACGCCGCGUGUGUGAAGAAGGCCUGCGGGUUGUAAAGCACUUUUAGUGGGGACAAAAAGCUACGGACUAAUACUCUGUGGUCUUGAUUUAACCCAAAGAAAAAGCACCGGCUAACUCUGUGCCAGCAGCCGCGGUAAUACAGAGGGUGCGAGCGUUAAUCGGAAUUACUGGGCGUAAAGCGCGCGUAGACGGUUUUGUAAGUCAGAUGUGAAAUCCCUGGGCUCAACCUGGGAACUGCAUUUGAAACUGCAUGGCUAGAGUAUGGAAGAGGGAAGUGGAAUUUCCGGUGUAGCGGUGAAAUGCGUAGAUAUCGGAAGGAACACCAGUGGCGAAAGCGACUUCCUGGUCCAAUACUGACGUUCAUGUGCGAAAGCGUGGGGAGCAAACAGGAUUAGAUACCCUAGUAGUCC